RNAcentral lists this ribosomal RNA (207 nucleotides) under uncultured bacterium. RNAcentral's name for it is "partial 16S ribosomal RNA". It matches the Rfam family "Bacterial small subunit ribosomal RNA", at positions 568 to 774 of the family's 1533-position model. The record is from RNAcentral.
CACGUAGGUGGCAUGGUAAGCCAAAGGUGAAAGCCCUCGGCUCAACCGAGGAACUGCCUUUGAAACUGCUUUGCUUGAGUCCGGGAGGGGGGAGCGGAAUUCCCAGUGUAGCGGUGAAAUGCGUAGAUACUGGGAGGAACACCGGUGGCGAAGGCGGCUCCCUGGACCGGUACUGACACUGAGGUGCGAAAGCGUGGGUAGCAAACA